Molecule: long non-coding RNA, 885 nt
Organism: Mytilus californianus (California mussel)
Lineage: Eukaryota; Metazoa; Mollusca; Bivalvia; Mytilida; Mytilidae
Exons: 2
Source: RefSeq, a predicted model, not a curated record
GUGGGAAAGCCACACGUCAGUUCUACGCCUCCUUCCAUAUGACGUAACGGACAGGAAUUCAAGGGCGACAAUCGCGAUUUUUACAUAGACGGCGACAGUAUCGCACCAUCUCGGUAAUUUGUUUACAUCGUGUACGUUUGAUUUUUCAAGAAAUUUAUUAUUAAAGACAAUUAAACUUGCAUCAUUUCAUCAUCAAUUAGUUAUAUAGGUAAGUUUAACAGGUGACCAUGCUAUUUUUUCUUCUUAGGAGAUUUUAUUUUACAAGAAACAAACAUCUGAAAAUGGCAAGUGACGUUGUUAUUUUGGAAGAUAAAAAUAUGGCGGGUGUUUUCCCCUUCUGAAAAUAACUGACACAUUUGCAUCCUAAUGGCUAUUUAAAAAUAAAAUGACCAAAAAUAGUAUCUAUGAUGAUGGGAGUCCCUAAAUAUUUGCAUAACUACCCAUCACUCCGUGUCAAAUUGCAACUGAGGCUGCGAAAGGGAAGCACAUAAAUCGACGCCAUUUUUCAACAGAUCCACAUGAAUAGUAGGUUUCUGUGCUCACAAAAUCCUAGUAAUAUCCUUUUAAUGAUAUCAAUAGAAAUAAGGAAUAAAGAAGAGCAGGAAACAUUUCCAUUUUGAGGAUUUAUGGAACAGAGAACUAUUUGACUUGUUUUUACUUUAACUUGGACUUUUUAACAAUAAUGCUUCUUAAAUUUUAAACUUUAUUGUUAUGCGUUUGUUUUUUUUUUUACUUUCAAAGUAUUAAGUUGUAUUAAAUUUUGUUUAUUUGAUUGAAGUUUAUUUUUCUUAUAAUAACUUAAGAUAUUAUUCACAUAUGUUUCAUCUUAACAUUAUUUUUAUGCAUUUGUAUUUAUUUAUCUUUUAAUAAACUUUUUUUUCUUAA